RNAcentral lists this ribosomal RNA (124 nucleotides) under uncultured bacterium. Its description in RNAcentral is "partial 16S ribosomal RNA". It matches the Rfam family "Bacterial small subunit ribosomal RNA", at positions 355 to 472 of the family's 1533-position model. The record is from RNAcentral.
UGGGGAAUAUUGCACAAUGGGCGCAAGCCUGAUGCAGCCAUGCCGCGUGUGUGAAGAAGGCCUUCGGGUUGUAAAGCACUUUCAGCGAGGAGGAAAGUGGUGAGCUUAAUACGCUCAUCAAUGA